UUUCCGUAGGUGAACCUGCGGAAGGAUCAUUAACGAAUAUCUAUGGCGUUGGUUGUAGCUGGCUUCUAGGAGCAUUGUGCACGCCCGUCAUUCAUAUCCUCUUUCCACCUGUGAACCAUGUUUAGGCCUGGAUACCCCUCGCUUUGGCAACAAAGCGGAUGCAAGGAUUGCCGCGUCGACAAGGCCGGCUCUCUUUGAAUUUCCAGGUUCUAUGUCUUUUACACACCCCAUUUGAAUGAUUUAGAAUGUAGUCAAUGGGCUUUCAUGCCUAUAAAAAACUAUACAACUUUCAGCAACGGAUCUCUUGGCUCUCGCAUCGAUGAAGAACGCAGC
This 333-nucleotide unclassified non-coding RNA is filed under the name uncultured fungus. Its description in RNAcentral is "sequence contains ITS1, 5.8S rRNA gene". The stretch from base 285 to 333 matches the Rfam family "5.8S ribosomal RNA", at positions 1 to 49 of the family's 154-position model. The record is from RNAcentral. Lineage: Eukaryota; Fungi.